This 260-nucleotide ribosomal RNA is filed under the name Alcaligenes faecalis. RNAcentral's name for it is "partial 16S ribosomal RNA". It matches the Rfam family "Bacterial small subunit ribosomal RNA", at positions 552 to 797 of the family's 1533-position model. The record is from RNAcentral. Lineage: Bacteria; Pseudomonadati; Pseudomonadota; Betaproteobacteria; Burkholderiales; Alcaligenaceae.
CCCCGAUUACGAUAUCGGAUACUGGGCGUAAGCGUGCGUAGGCGGUUCCGAAGAAGAUGUGAAAUCCCCCGGCUCACCUUGGACUGCAUUUUUAACUGCCGAGACUUAGUAGGUCAAAAGGGGGUGAAUUCCACGUGUAGCAGUGAAAUGCGUAGAUAUGUGGAGGAAUACCGAUGGCGAAGGCAGCCCCCUGGGAUAAUACUGACGCUCAGACACGAAAGCGUGGGGAGCAAACAGGAUUAGAUACCCCCCGUAGUCCA